RNAcentral lists this ribosomal RNA (440 nucleotides) under uncultured bacterium. Its description in RNAcentral is "partial 16S ribosomal RNA". It matches the Rfam family "Bacterial small subunit ribosomal RNA", at positions 338 to 795 of the family's 1533-position model. The record is from RNAcentral.
CCUACGGGGGGCAGCAGUGGGGAAUAUUGCACAAUGGGGGCAACCCUGAUGCAGCGACGCCGCGUGCGCGAUGAAGUAUUUCGGUAUGUAAAGCUCUAUCAGCAUGGAAGAAAAUGACGGUACCUGACUAAGAAGCCCCGGCUAACUACGUGCCAGCAGCCGCGUUAAUACGUAGGGGGCAAGCGUUAUCCGGAUUUACUGGGUGUAAAGGGCGCGUAGACGGCUUGUCAAGCCAGAUGUGAAAGGCUGGGGCUCAACCCCAGGACUGCAUUUGGAACUGGCAUGCUAGAGUUCCGGCAAGGCAGACGGAAUUCCUAGUGUAGCGGUGAAAUGCGUAGAUAUUAGGAGGAACACCAGUGGCGAAGGCGGCCUGCUGGACGAUGACUGACGUUGAGGCUCGAAAGCGUGGGGAGCAAACAGGAUUAGAUACCCCUGUAGUC